GCCUGGAGGGUGGGUAGCUCAGUUGGUAGAGCACAAGACUCUUAAUCUCAGGGUCAUAAGCUCAAGCCCCAUGUUAGGCA
Non-coding RNA from Podarcis lilfordi (Lilford's wall lizard), 80 nucleotides. The record is from the annotation of a GenBank genome assembly. NCBI's taxonomy places the organism in Eukaryota, Metazoa, Chordata, Lepidosauria, Squamata, Lacertidae.